This 451-nucleotide ribosomal RNA is filed under the name uncultured bacterium. RNAcentral describes it as "bacterial SSU rRNA". It matches the Rfam family "Bacterial small subunit ribosomal RNA", at positions 12 to 507 of the family's 1533-position model. The record is from RNAcentral.
UUUGAUCAUGGCUCAGAACGAACGCUGGCGGCAGGCUUAACACAUGCAAGUCGAACGGUUGUAGCAAUACAGCAGUGGCAGACGGGUGAGUAACACGUGGGAACCUUCCUAGGGGUACGGAACAACUCAGGGAAACUUGAGCUAAUACCGUAUACGUCCGUGAGGAGAAAGAUUUAUCGCCCUUAGACGGGCCCGCGUCGGAUUAGCUAGUUGGUGGGGUAACGGCCUACCAAGGCGACGAUCCGUAGCUGAUCUUAGAGGAUGAUCAGCCACACUGGGACUGAGACACGGCCCAGACUCCUACGGGAGGCAGCAGUGGGGAAUCUUGGACAAUGGGCGCAAGCCUGAUCCAGCCAUGCCGCGUGAGUGAAGAAGGUCUUCGGAUUGUAAAGCUCUUUUGCCAGGGACGAUAAUGACGGUACCUGGAGAAUAAGCCCCGGCAAACUUCGUG